ACUCAGACGCGGUUCUUCUUCUUCUUAUACAAAUGAUUUCGCCGCUCUUCCGCUUCAGCCGUCGUGACCUCUGCUUCUCACAUUGUUCUGAUUCGGUUUCGCUGUUCAUCUUCUAUCAGAACGAUCUCCCUCGCGAUGCUCCUCUCAGUCACGACUCCCUUCGUUUCCGCCUUACUCCGAUUCUUUGA
This is a non-coding RNA of Vicia faba (fava bean), 188 nucleotides long. NCBI's taxonomy places the organism in Eukaryota, Viridiplantae, Streptophyta, Magnoliopsida, Fabales, Fabaceae. The record is from the annotation of a GenBank genome assembly.